Molecule: ribosomal RNA, 301 nt
Filed under: uncultured bacterium
Lineage: Bacteria
Description: partial 16S ribosomal RNA
Rfam family: Bacterial small subunit ribosomal RNA
Source: RNAcentral
CAGCCGCCGCGGGAAUACGUAGGUGGCAAGCGUUGUCCGGAAUUAUUGGGCGUAAAGGGCUCGCAGGCGGUUUCUUAAGUCUGAUGUGAAAGCCCCGGCUCAACCGGGGAGGGUCAUUGGAAACUGGGAAACUUGAGUGCAGAAGAGGAGAGUGGAAUUCCACGCGUAGCGGUGAAAUGCGUAGAGAUGUGGAGGAACACCAGUGGCGAAGGCGACUCUCUGGUCUGUAACUGACGCUGAGGAGCGAAAGCGUGGGGAGCGAACAGGAUUAGAUACCCGCGUAGUCCCUGUCUCUUAUACA